CGGGCGAGGUUGCUUCGGUAACUGAGCUAGCGGCGGACGGGUGAGUAAAGCUUAGGAAUCUGCCUAUUAGUGGGGGACAACAUUCCGAAAGGGAUGCUAAUACCGCAUACGUCCUACGGGAGAAAGCAGGGGAUCACUUGUGACCUUGCGCUAAUAGAUGAGCCUAAGUCGGAUUAGCUAGUUGGUGGGGUAAAGGCCUACCAAGGCGACGAUCUGUAGCGGGUCUGAGAGGAUGAUCCGCCACACUGGGACUGAGACACGGCCCAGACUCCUACGGGAGGCAGCAGUGGGGAAUAUUGGACAAUGGGGGGAACCCUGAUCCAGCCAUGCCGCGUGUGUGAAGAAGGCCUUUUGGUUGUAAAGCACUUUAAGCGAGGAGGAGGCUUACCUGGUUAAUACCUGGGAUAAGUGGACGUUACUCGCAGAAUAAGCACCGGCUAACUCUGUGCCAGCAGCCGCGGUAAUACAGAGGGUGCGAGCGUUAAUCGGAUUUACUGGGCGUAAAGCGCGCGUAGGUGGUUAAUUAAGUCAAAUGUGAAAUCCCCGAGCUUAACUUGGGAAUUGCAUUCGAUACUGGUUAGCUAGAGUAUGGGAGAGGAUGGUAGAAUUCCAGGUGUAGCGGUGAAAUGCGUAGAGAUCUGGAGGAAUACCGAUGGCGAAGGCAGCCAUCUGGCCUAAUACUGACACUGAGGUGCGAAAGCAUGGGGAGCAAACAGGAUUAGAUACCCUGGUAGUCCAUGCCGUAAACGAUGUCUACUAGCCGUUGGGGGAUUUGAUCCUUUAGUGGCGCAGCUAACGCGAUAAGUAGACCGCCUGGGGAGUACGGUCGCAAGACUAAAACUCAAAUGAAUUGACGGGGGCCCGCACAAGCGGUGGAGCAUGUGGUUUAAUUCGAUGCAACGCGAAGAACCUUACCUGGCCUUGACAUAGUAGAGACUUUCCAGAGAUGGAUUGGUGCCUUCGGGAAUCUACAUACAGGU
RNAcentral lists this ribosomal RNA (980 nucleotides) under Acinetobacter sp. NF276. RNAcentral describes it as "bacterial SSU rRNA". It matches the Rfam family "Bacterial small subunit ribosomal RNA", at positions 67 to 1039 of the family's 1533-position model. The record is from RNAcentral. Lineage: Bacteria; Pseudomonadati; Pseudomonadota; Gammaproteobacteria; Moraxellales; Moraxellaceae.